RNAcentral lists this ribosomal RNA (453 nucleotides) under uncultured Porphyromonadaceae bacterium. RNAcentral describes it as "partial 16S ribosomal RNA". It matches the Rfam family "Bacterial small subunit ribosomal RNA", at positions 341 to 792 of the family's 1533-position model. Lineage: Bacteria; Pseudomonadati; Bacteroidota; Bacteroidia; Bacteroidales; Porphyromonadaceae. The record is from RNAcentral.
ACGGAAGGCAGCAGUGAGGAAUAUUGGUCAAUGGACGGAAGUCUGAACCAGCCAAGUCGCGUGAAGGAUGAAGGUAUUAUGUAUUGUAAACUUCUUUAGCAGUGGAGUAAUAAGGGGAUCGCGAUCCCUGAUGCAAGUACACUGAGAAUAAGGAUCGGCUAACUCCGUGCCAGCAGCCGAGGUAAUACGGAGGAUCCGAGCGUUAUCCGGAUUUAUUGGGUUUAAAGGGUGCGCAGGCGGCUUUUUAAGUCAGUGGUUAAAUCGUGACGCUCAACGUCAUCACGCCAUUGAUACUGGAGAGCUUGAUUGCGGUCGAGGUUUGCGGAAUUCGUUGUGUAGCGGUGAAAUGCAUAGAUAUGACGAAGAACACCGAUUGCGUAGGCAGCAGACCAGGCCGUAAAUGACGCUCAUGCACGAAAGUGCGGGGAUCGAACAGGAUUAGAUACCCUGGUA